This 85-nucleotide transfer RNA is filed under the name Methylacidimicrobium tartarophylax. RNAcentral's name for it is "tRNA-Ser". It matches the Rfam family "tRNA". From Rfam's summary of the family: Transfer RNA (tRNA) molecules are approximately 80 nucleotides in length. RNAcentral also lists the same sequence under 1 other name. Lineage: Bacteria; Pseudomonadati; Verrucomicrobiota. The record is from RNAcentral.
GCGCUCGUGGCGGAAUCGGCAGACGCGCUAGAUUCAGGUUCUAGUCCCGCAAGGGGUGUGGGUUCAAAUCCCUCCGAGCGCACCA